RNAcentral lists this ribosomal RNA (492 nucleotides) under uncultured bacterium. Its description in RNAcentral is "partial 16S ribosomal RNA". It matches the Rfam family "Bacterial small subunit ribosomal RNA", at positions 29 to 507 of the family's 1533-position model. The record is from RNAcentral.
AGUGAACGCUGGCGGUAGGCCUAACACAUGCAAGUCGAACGGCAGCACAGUAAGAGCUUGCUCUUACGGGUGGCGAGUGGCGGACGGGUGAGGAAUACAUCGGAAUCUACUUUUUCGUGGGGGAUAACGUAGGGAAACUUACGCUAAUACCGCAUACGACCUACGGGUGAAAGCAGGGGAUCUUCGGACCUUGCGCGAUUGAAUGAGCCGAUGUCGGAUUAGCUAGUUGGCGGGGUAAAGGCCCACCAAGGCGACGAUCCGUAGCUGGUCUGAGAGGAUGAUCAGCCACACUGGAACCGAGACACGGUCCAGACUCCUACGGGAGGCAGCAGUGGUGAAUAUUGGACAAUGGGCGCAAGCCUGAUCCAGCCAUACCGCGUGGGUGAAGAAGGCCUUCGGGUUGUAAAGCCCUUUUGUUGGGAAAGAAAAGCAGCAGGUUAAUACCCCGCUGUUCUGACGGUACCCAAAGAAUAAGCACCGGCUAACUUCGUG